This 464-nucleotide ribosomal RNA is filed under the name uncultured bacterium. Its description in RNAcentral is "partial 16S ribosomal RNA". It matches the Rfam family "Bacterial small subunit ribosomal RNA", at positions 339 to 795 of the family's 1533-position model. The record is from RNAcentral.
CUACGGGACGCACCAGUGGGGAAUUUUGUACAAUGGGGGAAACCCUGAUGCAGCGACGCCGCGUGCGGGAAGAAGGCCUUAGGGUUGUAAACCGCUUUCAAUUGUGAAGAAGGGAUGAGAGUUAAUAGCUUUCUGACUUGACGGUAGCAUUAGAAGAAGCACCGGCUAAUUUCGUGCCAGCAGCCGCGGUAAUACGAAAGGUGCAAGCGUUGUUCGGAUUUACUGGGCGUAAAGAGAUCGUAGGUGGUUUAUUAAGUCGGAUGUGAAAUCCCGGAGCUCAACUUCGGAACUGCAUUCGAUACUGGUAGGCUAGAGUUCGGGAGGGGAAAGCGGAAUUCCGUGUGUAGCAGUGAAAUGCGUAGAUAUACGGAGGAACACCUGAGGCGAAGGCGGCUUUCUGGACCGAUACUGACACUGAGGAUCGAAAGCGUGGGUAGCAAACAGGAUUAGAUACCCUAGUAGUC